CUUUUGGCUUCGGAGUUAGAAAUUCCGAGUUAGAAAUAAGAUGGGGACAGUGGGCUCUGAGCUUGGUCCUCAUCUCAUUUCUGUCCCUUGCUUUGCCAGGGGAGAGGAAGGUGGGGGCUCCUGAGGACAUUGAAUGAAUGGCCUUGGGUCUCCCAUCUCUGACCUCACCUACACUCCUCUCCACUUAGAAAUAAGAAACAAGGAUUGGGCGUAAGUGUGAAGCCUCUACUUGUUCAUUCAUCUAUCCAUUCAACAAUUACUUACUGUUCUUUUUGCCAGGUCCAUGUGCUACAGAGAUGAGAAAGUCACAAUCCCCAUCUGCAAGAAGUUCACAGUCUACUGGGGAGUAGACGUGCCCCCAAAUCAUUCCUGUAUACCGAGCUACUAGAAACAGAAUUUUCUGAAAGUAACAAGAAGAGGAAGCCUGAGUCUGUGCCGAAGCGUUCAGGGAGCAGAGAUGUAUUGAGAGGUGAUGAGGGAAGGCACAGAGAAUGUGAGGCCAGGCAGGUGAGAAGGGGUUGGGGGAAACCCACUGAUCAAACACACGGAUGGGU
RNAcentral lists this long non-coding RNA (554 nucleotides) under Mustela putorius furo (domestic ferret). RNAcentral describes it as "lncRNA (ENSMPUG00000029708.1)". The record is from RNAcentral. Lineage: Eukaryota; Metazoa; Chordata; Mammalia; Carnivora; Mustelidae.